RNAcentral lists this ribosomal RNA (80 nucleotides) under Paraclostridium sp. AKS46. The record is from RNAcentral. Lineage: Bacteria; Bacillati; Bacillota; Clostridia; Peptostreptococcales; Peptostreptococcaceae.
UGCGGUUAUUACAGCAAAGAGGAUACACCUGUUCCCAUUCCGAACACAGAAGUUAAGCUCUUUAGCGCCGAUGGUACUUG